This 765-nucleotide ribosomal RNA is filed under the name uncultured Streptococcus sp. RNAcentral's name for it is "bacterial SSU rRNA". It matches the Rfam family "Bacterial small subunit ribosomal RNA", at positions 28 to 776 of the family's 1533-position model. Lineage: Bacteria; Bacillati; Bacillota; Bacilli; Lactobacillales; Streptococcaceae. The record is from RNAcentral.
GACGAACGCUGGCGGCGUGCCUAAUACAUGCAAGUAGGACGCUGAAGAGGGGAGCUUGCUCUUCUUGGAUGAGUUGCGAACGGGUGAGUAACGCGUAGGUAACCUGCCUUGUAGCGGGGGAUAACUAUUGGAAACGAUAGCUAAUACCGCAUAACAAUGGAUGACACAUGUCAUUUAUUUGAAAGGGGCAAUUGCUCCACUACAAGAUGGACCUGCGUUGUAUUAGCUAGUAGGUGAGGUAACGGCUCACCUAGGCGACGAUACAUAGCCGACCUGAGAGGGUGAUCGGCCACACUGGGACUGAGACACGGCCCAGACUCCUACGGGAGGCAGCAGUAGGGAAUCUUCGGCAAUGGGGGCAACCCUGACCGAGCAACGCCGCGUGAGUGAAGAAGGUUUUCGGAUCGUAAAGCUCUGUUGUAAGUCAAGAACGAGUGUGAGAGUGGAAAGUUCACACUGUGACGGUAGCUUACCAGAAAGGGACGGCUAACUACGUGCCAGCAGCCGCGGUAAUACGUAGGUCCCGAGCGUUGUCCGGAUUUAUUGGGCGUAAAGCGAGCGCAGGCGGUUUGAUAAGUCUGAAGUUAAAGGCUGUGGCUCAACCAUAGUUCGCUUUGGAAACUGUCAAACUUGAGUGCAGAAGGGGAGAGUGGAAUUCCAUGUGUAGCGGUGAAAUGCGUAGAUAUAUGGAGGAACACCGGUGGCGAAAGCGGCUCUCUGGUCUGUAACUGACGCUGAGGCUCGAAAGCGUGGGGAGCGAACAGG